This 658-nucleotide ribosomal RNA is filed under the name Weissella confusa. RNAcentral describes it as "bacterial SSU rRNA". It matches the Rfam family "Bacterial small subunit ribosomal RNA", at positions 38 to 650 of the family's 1533-position model. Lineage: Bacteria; Bacillati; Bacillota; Bacilli; Lactobacillales; Lactobacillaceae. The record is from RNAcentral.
GGCGGCGUGCCUAAUACAUGCAAGUCGAACGCUUUGUGGUUCAACUGAUUUGAAGAGCUUGCUCAGAUAUGACGAUGGACAUUGCAAAGAGUGGCGAACGGGUGAGUAACACGUGGGAAACCUACCUCUUAGCAGGGGAUAACAUUUGGAAACAGAUGCUAAUACCGUAUAACAAUGACAACCGCAUGGUUGUUAUUUAAAAGAUGGUUCUGCUAUCACUAAGAGAUGGUCCCGCGGUGCAUUAGCUAGUUGGUAAGGUAAUGGCUUACCAAGGCGAUGAUGCAUAGCCGAGUUGAGAGACUGAUCGGCCACAAUGGGACUGAGACACGGCCCAUACUCCUACGGGAGGCAGCAGUAGGGAAUCUUCCACAAUGGGCGAAAGCCUGAUGGAGCAACGCCGCGUGUGUGAUGAAGGGUUUCGGCUCGUAAAACACUGUUGUAAGAGAAGAAUGACAUUGAGAGUAACUGUUCAAUGUGUGACGGUAUCUUACCAGAAAGGAACGGCUAAAUACGUGCCAGCAGCCGCGGUAAUACGUAUGUUCCAAGCGUUAUCCGGAUUUAUUGGGCGUAAAGCGAGCGCAGACGGUUAUUUAAGUCUGAAGUGAAAGCCCUCAGCUCAACUGAGGAAUUGCUUUGGAAACUGGAUGACUUGAGUGCA